RNAcentral lists this ribosomal RNA (484 nucleotides) under uncultured bacterium. RNAcentral describes it as "partial 16S ribosomal RNA". It matches the Rfam family "Bacterial small subunit ribosomal RNA", at positions 30 to 507 of the family's 1533-position model. The record is from RNAcentral.
AUUGAACGCUGGCGGCAGGCCUAACACAUGCAAGUCGAGCGGAUGACGGGAGCUUGCUCCUUGAUCCCGCGUCGGACGGGUGUGUAAUGCCUAGGAAUCUGCCUGGCAGUGGGGGACAACGUUCCGAAAGGAGCGCUACUACCGCAUACUUCCUACGGGAGCAAGUGGGGGAUCUUCGGACCUCACGCUAUCAGAUGAGUCUAGGUCGGACUAGCUAGAUGGUGGGUUAAUGGCUCACUUAGCCGACCAUCCGCAACUGGUCGGAGUGAAUGAUCAGUCGCACUAGAGGUGGGACGCGGUCCAUGCGCCUACGGGAGGCAGCAGUGGCGAAUGUUGGACAAUGGGCGAGAACCUGGUCCAGCCAGGCGGCGUGUGUGAAGAAGGUCUUGGGAUUGUAAAGCACUUUAAGUGGGUGGGAAGGGCAGUAAGUUGAUACCUUGCUGUUUUGACGUUACCGAGAGAAUAAGCACCGGCUAACUCUGUG